UUUAAUUUGUGCUAAUUUUAAUCUUUUUUUAAAAUAAUGCAGCAGUUUUAGCAUUUUCUGUGUGCACGUUAUUUUAGAACUGACUGGAUUGAGAUGGUGUAUGUUAGUGCUAGCAUUAUAGAUUUUGUAAUUUGGCGAAAGUAACGUUAUCUUUAUUCGGGUUCCCUAUCACUUAAGACCGUUUAUAUCUUUCAUCCAGUAACUAACGUUACGGGUUAACUUCGUUCUGGUGUUUUGAAAUGUCAUGCAAACGAGAAAGCAGCCGUUUAGCCGAGUUAGCUAUUGAAAUCAUAUUUUCUUGUGUAACUUAGCGCCCUGGGGCUCGAGCACCGACGGAUUCGGCCGAGCACCGACGGAAACGGCGUGUCUAAGAGACGAAAAUGGACCUUAAAAAAUAAAAACUAAGAAUAAACAUGCUAACUUUCGUUAACGAGACGAGACGAAAAUGUUGGUGGUGACGAAGUCACAAUACUAUUAUUAUUUUGUUUUAAUCGCGUACGUUAUUACGGCGGUCCGUAACUGCGGUUAUUAACGUCUCACGAUGACGUCAUCCACGGACCGCUCGGUCACUGUGGGGUCCCGGUGGUUCUUGUCACCGAUACGGACCGCGACACUAUGUUACGCUUUGGUUGGACAGUAAAGGCAAGAACACAAUACAUGGACACUAGAAAAUAUAUAAAACUCAAAGAGCCAUGCUUUUUGGAGUUUGUCACUGAAGCAAAAAAAGCAUUUGCCAUUCGAGAACAGACACCUGUUAAGGUAACAGAUGACACCUCUACAGAAGUGGACGAGGAUGUAUUUCCUGAACUUGUUGCUGAAAGGGGCAUUUGCUUUAGUUUACAUACUAAUAAUGAUUCCACUUCUGCACAUAAGUUGUCCCCUCUUCUGACUGAUGGGAACUCUGUCAGCAAGACUUCAACCUUUACUGAAUGCAAUAAAGGCAACAAAACGUCUGCAUUUCAUUCCAAAAGACCCAGGUUGGAUGAUUCCAAGCUUGCAAAAGAGACCAUUGAAGACAUCCUAAAGUGCAAACCUGGUGGUGUAGAAGUCAUGCAGCACUAUAAAGACACUGGUAAUCUCUCAACCUCCAAAAGAAAGGAGAUGAUUAAUAUAUUGGUUGCACACAUGACUGAACAAGAAGGAUACAUCAAGACUUUGCUUUGAUGUUUGGCCUGGAAACAGCCUCCAGAUUUUUAGAGAAGUGGAAUACCUCCUUCAAGCAAAAUGUGAUUAAGGAGGCAAAAACUCUAAAUCCAUCUGCAUUCCUGCUACAGCUACUGAAAUCUGCUGAAAAAAACAACGGAGACAACAGUAAUGAAGAAUGGGAUAGUGACAUAGCAUCUCUGCUUUUGCUGUUACACCUCCUUGCACCCCAACCUUCUGGAAGGAAGAGAGCAGCCAAGAUCAGUGUGAGAGAUGCUGUUGGUCGCCUCCUGAAAUUUGAAAAGUCCUGCAGAAGUUUGGAGGACCAUCUCUCAGAGGUGGAGGACAGACAGCCCUAUCUUCUGGCCACUGGACAAACCAAAGCAGAUGCACUUAAAUUCUACAUUGUGGUCGACAAGAAUCUCAUACCCUGUCAAGCAAGUACUUCACUUGGAGCUUUUGAUGAGCUUUUCAAAGCUCAUUAUGUCUUUGGUGCACAAUAUGACCCAUCUCUCAGCAACAUGUUCACCUUUAUCCAGACAACAAUCUACAAAAUCCAUCCUAGCACGUCCAGCCAAUCAUCACGCACUCGAGAGCUGAGAGCGAAACUGUUAAACAGUUCAAUGGAAAGUACAUAAUGAGAAGAUGUUUCAUUUGCAAGUCUUUGCUGGGUACAAGCAUUAAAUUGUUUCGACACCUGAAGUUAGCUCAUGGCAUGUACCCAUGGGUACAUGCCAUGAGCUAACAUACUUAGAAAAGACAACUUGAGGAUUAUUUCUUUGUUUGAUGCACAGAUCUCCUAUGGUGCUGACUCAUUUUUUUACAUAGUUGCAAAAAAUGAACUUGUUUGAAACACUCAGAUCUAUUUAUUUAGCCUGUACAAGAAUAGUAUAUUUGAUCAGAAUGAAUGUAUAUUUUAUAUAUAUAUAUUUUUGACCAUUGAUGAGUUAAAGAUGACAUAAAAAUGUUGUAUUUUCAAUUGAUGUUAUUGCAGUGUAUGUUUACUUAGAAAAUUUGAGUCAAUUUCUAUUGAAAAUGUCAGCAGAUUGUUUGAUAAAGUAUAUAGACAUGUACAGAUGUCCUAUCGUGCUGACGAAUUUCUCAUUUUUUUACAAAAAUGUAUAUUUUCACACUAUUAAGAUGCUAUUGCAUUGGAGACUGCAUUGUUUUAUUCAAUUGUAUGUCAUUAAAAU
This is an RNA transcript of Pungitius pungitius (ninespine stickleback), 2336 nucleotides long. RefSeq lists it as uncharacterized. The transcript is spliced from 8 exons. The record is from RefSeq and is a predicted model, not a curated record. Lineage: Eukaryota; Metazoa; Chordata; Actinopteri; Perciformes; Gasterosteidae.